UACGUAGGGGGCAAGCGUUGUCCGGAUUUAUUGGGCGUAAAGAGCGUGUAGGCGGCCAGAUAGGUCAGCUGUGAAAACUCGAGGCUCAACCUCGAGACGUCGGUUGAAACCAUUUGGCUAGAGUCCGGAAGAGGAGAGUGGAAUUCCCGGUGUAGCGGUGAAAUGCGCAGAUAUCGGGAAGAACACCCGUGGCGAAGGCGGCUCUCUGGGACGGUACUGACGCUGAGACGCGAAAGCGUGGGGAGCGAACAGG
Molecule: ribosomal RNA, 253 nt
Filed under: uncultured bacterium
Lineage: Bacteria
Description: partial 16S ribosomal RNA
Rfam family: Bacterial small subunit ribosomal RNA
Source: RNAcentral